This 372-nucleotide ribosomal RNA is filed under the name uncultured organism. RNAcentral describes it as "bacterial SSU rRNA". It matches the Rfam family "Bacterial small subunit ribosomal RNA", at positions 526 to 896 of the family's 1533-position model. The record is from RNAcentral.
CGGGGGGGGCAAGCGUUGUUCGGAAUUACUGGGCGUAAAGGGCUCGUAGGCGGCCAACUAAGUCAUACGUGAAAUCCCUCGGCUUAACCGGGGAACUGCGUCUGAUACUGGAUGGCUUGAGUUCGGGAGAGGGAUGCGGAAUUCCAGGUGUAGCGGUGAAAUGCGUAGAUAUCUGGAGGAACACCGGUGGCGAAGGCGGCAUCCUGGACCGAUACUGACGCUGAGGAGCGAAAGCCAGGGGAGCAAACGGGAUUAGAUACCCCGGUAGUCCUGGCCCUAAACGAUGAAUGCUUGGUGUGGCGGGUAUCGAUCCCUGCCGUGCCGAAGCUAACGCAUUAAGCAUUCCGCCUGGGGAGUACGGUCGCAAGGCUG